This 400-nucleotide unclassified non-coding RNA is filed under the name soil metagenome. RNAcentral's name for it is "partial contains 5.8S ribosomal RNA, internal transcribed spacer 2, and large subunit ribosomal RNA". The stretch from base 1 to 122 matches the Rfam family "5.8S ribosomal RNA", at positions 35 to 154 of the family's 154-position model. The record is from RNAcentral.
GAUGAAGAACGUAGCGAAAUGCGAUACUUGGUGUGAAUUGCAGAAUCCCGUGGACCAUCGAGUCUUUGAACGCAAGUUGCGCCUCAAGCCAUUAGGUUGAGGGCACGUCUGCCUGGGCGUCACAUAUCGUUGCCUGAUGCCAGUUUCCUCGUGAUGGGUGACUGUGCAGGGCGAAUGAUGGCUUCCCGUGAGCAUUGUUGCCUCAUGGUUGGUUGAAAAUUGAGUCCUUGGUAGGGAGCGCCGUGAUAGAUGGUGGUUGAGUGACGAACGAGACCCAAUCAUGUGAGACCCCUACCGAAUUUGGCCUUCAUGACCCACAUGCGUCUUUGGAACGCUCAUGACGAGACCUCAGGUCAGGCGGGGCUACCCGCUGAGUUUAAGCAUAUCAAUAAGCGGAGGA